GAAGCAAGCCAGACCGUCGCUGGUGCCGGAUCCGAAAGGUGGCACUGGAGGAAGGUCCGGACUGCACAGAGCGGCGUAGCAGCUAACGGCUGUCCACCGUGAGGUGAGGAUCAGAGCAACAGAGACGAGCCGAUUCAGUUCGGGUGAAACGGGCAAUCUCUACGCGCAGCAACACCAAAUAGGCCAGUGCAAGGUCGCUUCGGCGGCCCUGGAGUGCGGCUCGCACGAGCUGGCGGGUAGGUGGCACCGAGCCGGUGGGGCGACCCCCGGCCCAGAUGAAUGGCGGUCACGGCCGACGACCUUUCGGGGUCGGCGGCCGCACAGAAUCCGGCCUAUCGGCUUGCUUCACAC
Molecule: RNase P RNA, 351 nt
Filed under: Leptothrix discophora
Lineage: Bacteria; Pseudomonadati; Pseudomonadota; Betaproteobacteria; Burkholderiales; Sphaerotilaceae
Description: RNase P RNA component class A
Rfam family: Bacterial RNase P class A
About the family: Ribonuclease P (RNase P) is a ubiquitous endoribonuclease, found in archaea, bacteria and eukarya as well as chloroplasts and mitochondria. Its best characterised activity is the generation of mature 5'-ends of tRNAs by cleaving the 5'-leader elements of precursor-tRNAs.
Source: RNAcentral